CAUGUCUUUUUGUUAAUGAUUUAAAGUCUGGCCUGCUCGAUGAGGUUUAAAUUGCCGCAGUAUUUUGACUGUGCAAAGGUAGCAUAAUAAUUAGUUUCUUGAUUAGGGGCUUGAAUGAAAGGUUGAACAAGAAAGUUUCUGUCUCUGUUUUAUUAUUAUUGAAUUUUAUUUUUAAGUUAAAAAGCUUAAAUUUUUUUAAAAGACGAGAAGACCCUAUAGAGUUUUAUAUUUUAAUUAUAUUAUUUUUUAGUAAAUUUGUUUAAUUUGAUUAUUUGGUUGGGGUGAUUCGGAUAUUAAGUUAAUUUUCUGAAUAUAUUAUUGUUGAUGUUUAAAUUAAAGUUCUUUUAUUUUCAAGUUUAAAUUAAUUACCUUAGGGAUAACAGCGUAAUUUUUCUUUAAAGUUCUUAUUAAAAGGAGAGUUUGCGACCUCGAUGUUGGAUUAAAAUAAAUUUUUGGUGCAGUAACUUAAGUAUUAGGUCUGUUCGACCUUUAAAAUUUUACAUGAUCUGAGUUUAGACCGGCGUGAGCCAGGUUAGAUUCUAUCUUUAGGAAUAUAUUAUAUUUUAGUACGAAAGGACCUGAUAUUAAUUAUAUUAAUUG
Molecule: ribosomal RNA, 600 nt
Filed under: Dilophotes sp. T LB-2014
Lineage: Eukaryota; Metazoa; Arthropoda; Insecta; Coleoptera; Lycidae
Description: partial 16S ribosomal RNA
Rfam family: Bacterial large subunit ribosomal RNA (bases 376-534)
Source: RNAcentral